RNAcentral lists this long non-coding RNA (363 nucleotides) under Ananas comosus (pineapple). RNAcentral's name for it is "long non-coding RNA (ACOM_LNC038056)". The record is from RNAcentral. Lineage: Eukaryota; Viridiplantae; Streptophyta; Magnoliopsida; Poales; Bromeliaceae.
AAUGGUUACAAAUAUCUAAAAUUUUAUCCAAACUCGAAUUCGAAUGGAUCGAAUUUAUCCGAUGCUAAAUGAAUAUAUUUUCGAAUAUGGAUAUAAAAAAUAAAGACCCGACGAAUUUGGAUUUGGAUAUGAAUUUUGACUGCACCAGAUUCAAAUCCGAUAUGGAUUUUGAAGUUAUAUUUGAAUUUUUGUUUCAAAAAUUUAGGUCUAAUUUAAUAUGUUUUGAAAUAUUGUAAAGAGAAAUAAUUAUUUCGGGUUCGGAUUCCAGAUUUUUGGAUAAGUUUGGGUUUGAAACUGGAUUUUUGAAAUCAGUCAGACUCCGGUUUAGGUUCGAAUUUUGGAUUUGACAGUCGGAUUCGGGUU